This 2900-nucleotide ribosomal RNA is filed under the name Klebsiella pneumoniae. RNAcentral's name for it is "bacterial LSU rRNA". It matches the Rfam family "Bacterial large subunit ribosomal RNA". The record is from RNAcentral. Lineage: Bacteria; Pseudomonadati; Pseudomonadota; Gammaproteobacteria; Enterobacterales; Enterobacteriaceae.
UUAAGCGACUAAGCGUACACGGUGGAUGCCCUGGCAGUCAGAGGCGAUGAAGGACGUGCUAAUCUGCGAAAAGCGUCGGUAAGGUGAUAUGAACCGUUAUAGCCGGCGAUGUCCGAAUGGGGAAACCCAGUGUGAUUCGUCACACUAUCGUUAACUGAAUACAUAGGUUAACGAGGCGAACCGGGGGAACUGAAACAUCUAAGUACCCCGAGGAAAAGAAAUCAACCGAGAUUCCCCCAGUAGCGGCGAGCGAACGGGGAGCAGCCCAGAGUCUGAAUCAGCUUGUGUGUUAGUGGAACGGUCUGGAAAGUCCGACGGUACAGGGUGAUAGUCCCGUACACCAAAAUGCACAGGCUGUGAACUCGAAGAGUAGGGCGGGACACGUGGUAUCCUGUCUGAAUAUGGGGGGACCAUCCUCCAAGGCUAAAUACUCCUGACUGACCGAUAGUGAACCAGUACCGUGAGGGAAAGGCGAAAAGAACCCCGGCGAGGGGAGUGAAAAAGAACCUGAAACCGUGUACGUACAAGCAGUGGGAGCACCUUCGGGUGUGACUGCGUACCUUUUGUAUAAUGGGUCAGCGACUUAUAUUCUGUAGCAAGGUUAACCGUAUAGGGGAGCCGCAGGGAAACCGAGUCUUAACUGGGCGUUAAGUUGCAGGGUAUAGACCCGAAACCCGGUGAUCUAGCCAUGGGCAGGUUGAAGGUUGGGUAACACUAACUGGAGGACCGAACCGACUAAUGUUGAAAAAUUAGCGGAUGACUUGUGGCUGGGGGUGAAAGGCCAAUCAAACCGGGAGAUAGCUGGUUCUCCCCGAAAGCUAUUUAGGUAGCGCCUCGUGAACUCAUCUUCGGGGGUAGAGCACUGUUUCGGCUAGGGGGUCAUCCCGACUUACCAACCCGAUGCAAACUACGAAUACCGAAGAAUGUUAUCACGGGAGACACACGGCGGGUGCUAACGUCCGUCGUGAAGAGGGAAACAACCCAGACCGCCAGCUAAGGUCCCAAAGUCAUGGUUAAGUGGGAAACGAUGUGGGAAGGCACAGACAGCCAGGAUGUUGGCUUAGAAGCAGCCAUCAUUUAAAGAAAGCGUAAUAGCUCACUGGUCGAGUCGGCCUGCGCGGAAGAUGUAACGGGGCUAAACCAUGCACCGAAGCUGCGGCAGCGACACUAUGUGUUGUUGGGUAGGGGAGCGUUCUGUAAGCCUGCGAAGGUGACCUGUGAGGGUUGCUGGAGGUAUCAGAAGUGCGAAUGCUGACAUAAGUAACGAUAAAGCGGGUGAAAAGCCCGCUCGCCGGAAGACCAAGGGUUCCUGUCCAACGUUAAUCGGGGCAGGGUGAGUCGACCCCUAAGGCGAGGCCGAAAGGCGUAGUCGAUGGGAAACAGGUUAAUAUUCCUGUACUUGGUGUUACUGCGAAGGGGGGACGGAGAAGGCUAUGUUAGCCGGGCGACGGUUGUCCCGGUUUAAGCAUGUAGGCUGGUUAUCCAGGCAAAUCCGGAUAAUCAAGGCUGAGGUGUGAUGACGAGGCACUACGGUGCUGAAGUAACAAAUGCCCUGCUUCCAGGAAAAGCCUCUAAGCAUCAGGUAACAUCAAAUCGUACCCCAAACCGACACAGGUGGUCAGGUAGAGAAUACCAAGGCGCUUGAGAGAACUCGGGUGAAGGAACUAGGCAAAAUGGUGCCGUAACUUCGGGAGAAGGCACGCUGGUGUGUAGGUGAAGUCCCUGCGGAUGGAGCUGAGACCAGUCGAAGAUACCAGCUGGCUGCAACUGUUUAUUAAAAACACAGCACUGUGCAAACACGAAAGUGGACGUAUACGGUGUGACGCCUGCCCGGUGCCGGAAGGUUAAUUGAUGGGGUUAUCCGUAAGGAGAAGCUCUUGAUCGAAGCCCCGGUAAACGGCGGCCGUAACUAUAACGGUCCUAAGGUAGCGAAAUUCCUUGUCGGGUAAGUUCCGACCUGCACGAAUGGCGUAAUGAUGGCCAGGCUGUCUCCACCCGAGACUCAGUGAAAUUGAACUCGCUGUGAAGAUGCAGUGUACCCGCGGCAAGACGGAAAGACCCCGUGAACCUUUACUAUAGCUUGACACUGAACAUUGAGCCUUGAUGUGUAGGAUAGGUGGGAGGCUUUGAAGCGUGGACGCCAGUCUGCGUGGAGCCAACCUUGAAAUACCACCCUUUAAUGUUUGAUGUUCUAACGUUGGCCCCUUACCGGGGUUGCGGACAGUGUCUGGUGGGUAGUUUGACUGGGGCGGUCUCCUCCCAAAGCGUAACGGAGGAGCACGAAGGUUAGCUAAUCCUGGUCGGACAUCAGGAGGUUAGUGCAAUGGCAUAAGCUAGCUUGACUGCGAGCGUGACGGCGCGAGCAGGUGCGAAAGCAGGUCAUAGUGAUCCGGUGGUUCUGAAUGGAAGGGCCAUCGCUCAACGGAUAAAAGGUACUCCGGGGAUAACAGGCUGAUACCGCCCAAGAGUUCAUAUCGACGGCGGUGUUUGGCACCUCGAUGUCGGCUCAUCACAUCCUGGGGCUGAAGUAGGUCCCAAGGGUAUGGCUGUUCGCCAUUUAAAGUGGUACGCGAGCUGGGUUUAGAACGUCGUGAGACAGUUCGGUCCCUAUCUGCCGUGGGCGCUGGAGAAUUGAGGGGGGCUGCUCCUAGUACGAGAGGACCGGAGUGGACGCAUCACUGGUGUUCGGGUUGUCAUGCCAAUGGCACUGCCCGGUAGCUAAAUGCGGAAGAGAUAAGUGCUGAAAGCAUCUAAGCACGAAACUUGCCCCGAGAUGAGUUCUCCCUGAGACUUUAAGUCUCCUGAAGGAACGUUAAAGACGAUGACGUUGAUAGGCCGGGUGUGUAAGCGCAGCGAUGCGUUGAGCUAACCGGUACUAAUGAACCGUGAGGCUUAACCUU